Long non-coding RNA from Daphnia carinata, 846 nucleotides. RefSeq lists it as uncharacterized. The transcript is spliced from 3 exons. NCBI's taxonomy places the organism in Eukaryota, Metazoa, Arthropoda, Branchiopoda, Diplostraca, Daphniidae. The record is from RefSeq and is a predicted model, not a curated record.
UGAUGAAUGCGUCACCGUGUGGGGCAGAACUAAAAUGAAAAAUGGACGUCGUUAGAGGACGAGUGAUUCACACUGUAAAUUUUUGGAAUUAUGGUCUGGUGUGAUGAUCGAUGGUCAGCGCUACAGUGAAAAGAAAUUCAAGAAUUCGUGAGACGACCGCACAACCGUGUAAUUCAUGUUUGAGUGCAUCAGCGAAAAAAGGAAGAAAAAUAUUCAUGGGAAGAAAAAAUUUUCAAUCGGAGAAAGUAAUGCAGAGAUAGCAAGAAAGUUGCUGAUUCUAACCCCAAAAAAAGAAACGAGAAAAAUGAAUUCCAAACAAGCGAAGCAACGAGCAAAACUAUUGUUAGAUAAUUGGCCUUGACAGGCUUUACCUUACGACUUGCUGUUAGGAUCGUAAAGCCCCAAAACAGCUGCCUUCUUUAUUCACUUGGCCCCAUCUUUCGUUGUGGUGUUAUUCAUCAACAAUAGUCUAAUGUUGAAACACGUGCCAUUUCCUUAUGCGCUGAAAUAGAUUGACUGCGUAUAAAUUUUUGUUUGAAUACUUAAACUGAAGGCUCUUUUCCGUUUGAAUAAAAACCCAUCAGACGUCCUGUCGAGUUGGCACAAAGAACGGCCUGCAAAGCGAAUAGUCCUGGAAAUAGCUAGUAUACUAUCACUAAGCCCGAUAUACAACGUGACGAAGCAGAAGCUGUCUAGUAAAGAACAGUUGAAGCAUGAAGGUAAACAGGCUGCUGUCAAAUGAAGUUUUUCGCUCAAAUGUUUAUCUUGCAAUUUUCUUGGUACAAUGGCAACAUUUCCGAAUCUGUCUUUUUUUUUCUAUGAGGAAUAAACAGCGAAAAUAAGCUA